GAUGAACGCUGGCGGCGUGCCUAAUACAUGCAAGUCGAGCGAACAGACGAGGAGCUUGCUCCUUUGACGUUAGCGGCGGACGGGUGAGUAACACGUGGGUAACCUACCUAUAAGACUGGGAUAACUUCGGGAAACCGGAGCUAAUACCGGAUAAUAUUUCGAACCGCAUGGUUCGAUAGUGAAAGAUGGCUUUGCUAUCACUUAUAGAUGGACCUGCGCCGUAUUAGCUAGUUGGUAAGGUAACGGCUUACCAAGGCAACGAUACGUAGCCGACCUGAGAGGGUGAUCGGCCACACUGGAACUGAGACACGGUCCAGACUCCUACGGGAGGCAGCAGUAGGGAAUCUUCCGCAAUAGGCGAAAGCCUGACGGAGCAACGCCGCGUGAGUGAUGAAGGUCUUCGGAUCGUAAAACUCUGUUAUUAGGGAAGAACAAACGUGUAAGUAACUGUGCACGUCUUGACGGUACCUAAUCAGAAAGCCACGGCUAACUACGUG
Molecule: ribosomal RNA, 497 nt
Filed under: uncultured bacterium
Lineage: Bacteria
Description: partial 16S ribosomal RNA
Rfam family: Bacterial small subunit ribosomal RNA
Source: RNAcentral